This 191-nucleotide small nuclear RNA is filed under the name Echeneis naucrates (live sharksucker). RNAcentral's name for it is "U2 spliceosomal RNA (ENSENLG00000004251.1)". It matches the Rfam family "U2 spliceosomal RNA". From Rfam's summary of the family: U2 is a small nuclear RNA (snRNA) component of the spliceosome (involved in pre-mRNA splicing). Complementary binding between U2 snRNA (in an area lying towards the 5' end but 3' to hairpin I) and the branchpoint sequence (BPS) of the intron results the bulging out of an unpaired adenosine, on the BPS, which initiates a nucleophilic attack at the intronic 5' splice site, thus starting the first of two transesterification reactions that mediate splicing. Lineage: Eukaryota; Metazoa; Chordata; Actinopteri; Carangiformes; Echeneidae. The record is from Rfam by way of RNAcentral.
AUCGCUUCUCGGCCUUUUGGCUAAGAUCAAGUGUAGUAUCUGUUCUUAUCAGUUUAAUAUCUGAUACGUCCCCUACCCGGGGACCAUAUAUUAAAUAGAUUUUUGGAACAGGGAGAUGGAAUAGGGGCCUGCUCCGUCCACUCCACGCAUCGACCUGGUAUUGCAGUAUCUCCAGGAACGGUUUGGUUGUC